GGGAAGUCAUUACUGUACUAAGGAGGAGUCUUGGUGUGGAAGGAAGCCAUUACUCCCACUCCCCACUCCCUCCCUCUUCUUGGAGAGAGAGAGACCAAGAAGAAGAAGGGGAUGGCGACGGCGCCGCCGCGUCUGCUGCGGGGCCUCAUCGCGCCGCUGCCGCUGUCGCUGGCGGACUGGCUGCCGUGCCACCAGCAGCUGCUCACCUCCGCCGCCCUCCUGCACCGCUGCUGGCUCCCCUCGCUGGCGCGCCUCCGCUGCCCCUCCUGCUCCGACGGAUUCAAGCUCUUCCUCGUCCUGCUCCUCGUCUCCGCCGCCCUCGCCGAGGUCCGCUUCGUCGCCUCCGCGUCUAUGGCGCCCACCCUCCGCCCCGGCGACCGCGCCGUCGCAGAAAAAGUGAGCUACAUGUUCCGGCGGCCGUCUGUGGGCGACAUUGUCUUCUUCAGGGUGCCCACGGCGCUGCAGAAUUGUGGCAUAAAUAAGGAUGUUGUAUUUAUUAAGAGGGUUAUUGCCACCCCUGGAGAUUUCAUCGAGGUUCGACAAGGCCAGCAUAUUGUCAACGGUGUUGCACAGAAGGAACAUUACACCGCACCCCAUGCGUCGUACACGAUGGAAGCCAUGGUCCAGAGAUACUUGUAUGCCCAAACUGCUUGGGGUCAUUACUACACAAACAAAUGACCAUACUGCUACUGCAAGAGGAGGACCAAAAGUGGCAUGGCUGCUCCGUGUUGUUGACAUCCUGAGUACCCCCAUUAUUCUUUCGAAAUGAAAUGACGGGUCUCAGAUGGUGGAUGAUCUCUCCCUCCAAUCCUAUUCUCGCUGUCUGCUCAAUUCUAUUCCCGAAUCCAUCUGGUACUAAGACUGUCCAUCAUCCUGCAGCGCCUCCCUGAAGGCCAUGUAUUCGUCAUGGGUGAUAACCGUAAUAACAGCUGUGAUUCUCGUGCCUGGGGACCUCUUCCUAUCAGCAACAUUCUUGGAAGAUACAUGAUGUCCUUCACAAGGUCGUCCCUCCAAUAGCCAAGGCGAAGAGCUUCGAUGACCACCAGCGUUGCCGAACAACCCCCUGAUGCCACUCGAUAUGAUGUUAUCGAGCUAUGUUGGGCCUCGAGCCCUUCUUAGUAUGUAGAUCCACGAGACCUUCCUAUGCAGUGUGAUUUAGCACUGUCUGUGUAGUACUUGGCAGCUGUUGUCACUCACCCCUGGACUGUCAGGUGUUAGUUAAGCCUACUACUUGUUGGUAGAACCUGCAAAAUGUGCCUAAAGGUUCACGCCUUCUAGUAACCAUAGCUGUCUGAAUCUUACCGGUAAUGUUUUACUAUUAUGUACCGCGUGCUUGACUGUCAGAAGUUUGCAAUGAAUCAUUGUGGUGGUUCCUUGCUGCAUCUAGAUAAAUCUGUAAUGUUCAUCA
Molecule: non-coding RNA, 1408 nt
Organism: Triticum urartu
Lineage: Eukaryota; Viridiplantae; Streptophyta; Magnoliopsida; Poales; Poaceae
Source: RefSeq, a predicted model, not a curated record